AUUGAACGCUGGCGGCAGGCCUAACACAUGCAAGUCGAGCGGAUGAAGGGAGCUUGCUCCUGGAUUCAGCGGCGGACGGGUGAGUAAUGCCUAGGAAUCUGCCUGGUUGUGGGGGAUAACGUCCGGAAACGGGCGCUAAUACCGCAUACGUCCUGAGGGAGAAAGUGGGGGAUCUUCGGACCUCACGCUAUCAGAUGAGCCUAGGUCGGAUUAGCUAGUUGGUGGGGUAAAGGCCUACCAAGGCGACGAUCCGUAACUGGGCUGAGAGGAUGAUCAGGCACACUGGAACGGAGAGACGGUUCAGAAUCGUACGGGGGGCAGCAGUGGGGAAUAUUGGAGCAUGGGCGAAAGCCUGAUACAGCCAUGCCGCGUGAGGGAAGAAGGUCUUCGGAUUGUAAAGCGCUUUAAGUUGGGAGGAAGGGCAGUAAGUUGAUACCUUGCUGUUUUGACGUUACCAACAGAAUAAGCACCGGCUAACUACGUG
This 484-nucleotide ribosomal RNA is filed under the name uncultured bacterium. RNAcentral describes it as "partial 16S ribosomal RNA". It matches the Rfam family "Bacterial small subunit ribosomal RNA", at positions 30 to 507 of the family's 1533-position model. The record is from RNAcentral.